AAUGAACGCUGGCGGCAGGCCUAACACAUGCAAGUCGAACGGAUCCUUCGGGAUUAGUGGCGGACGGGUGAGUAACGCGUGGGAACAUACCCUUUGGUGCGGAAUAGCCUCGGGAAACUGGGAGUAAUACCGUAUGUGGUCGAGAGACGAAAGAUUUAUCGCCAAAGGAUUGGCCCGCGUUGGAUUAGGUAGUUGGUGGGGUAAUGGCCUACCAAGCCGACGAUCCAUAGCUGGUUUGAGAGGAUGAUCAGCCACACUGGGACUGAGACACGGCCCAGACUCCUACGGGAGGCAGCAGUGGGGAAUCUUAGACAAUGGGGGAAACCCUGAUCUAGCCAUGCCGCGUGAUCGAUGAAGGCCUUAGGGUUGUAAAGAUCUCUCAGGUGGGAAGAUAAUGACUGUACCACCAGAAGAAGCCCCGGCUAACUCCGUGCCAGCCGCCGCGGUAA
This 449-nucleotide ribosomal RNA is filed under the name uncultured bacterium. RNAcentral describes it as "partial 16S ribosomal RNA". It matches the Rfam family "Bacterial small subunit ribosomal RNA", at positions 29 to 523 of the family's 1533-position model. The record is from RNAcentral.